RNAcentral lists this ribosomal RNA (1439 nucleotides) under uncultured organism. Its description in RNAcentral is "SSU rRNA". It matches the Rfam family "Bacterial small subunit ribosomal RNA". The record is from RNAcentral.
CAGGCUUAACACAUGCAAGUCGAGGGGCAUCAGGAAGAAAGCUUGCUUUCUUUGCUGGCGACCGGCGCACGGGUGAGUAACACGUAUCCAACCUGCCCUUUACUCGGGGAUAGCCUUUCGAAAGAAAGAUUAAUACCCGAUAGCAUAAUGAUUCCGCAUGGUUUCAUUAUUAAAGGAUUCCGGUAAAGGAUGGGGAUGCGUUCCAUUAGGUUGUUGGUGAGGUAACGGCCCACCAAGCCUUCGAUGGAUAGGGGUUCUGAGAGGAAGGUCCCCCACAUUGGAACUGAGACACGGUCCAAACUCCUACGGGAGGCAGCAGUGAGGAAUAUUGGUCAAUGGGCGCUAGCCUGAACCAGCCAAGUAGCGUGAAGGAUGAAGGCUCUAUGGGUCGUAAACUUCUUUUAUAUAAGAAUAAAGUGCAGUAUGUAUACUGUUUUGUAUGUAUUAUAUGAAUAAGGAUCGGCUAACUCCGUGCCAGCAGCCGCGGUAAUACGGAGGAUCCGAGCGUUAUCCGGAUUUAUUGGGUUUAAAGGGAGCGUAGGUGGACUGGUAAGUCAGUUGUGAAAGUUUGCGGCUCAACCGUAAAAUUGCAGUUGAUACUGUCAGUCUUGAGUACAGUAGAGGUGGGCGGAAUUCGUGGUGUAGCGGUGAAAUGCUUAGAUAUCACGAAGAACUCCGAUUGCGAAGGCAGCUCACUGGACUGCAACUGACACUGAUGCUCGAAAGUGUGGGUAUCAAACAGGAUUAGAUACCCUGGUAGUCCACACAGUAAACGAUGAAUACUCGCUGUUUGCGAUAUACAGUAAGCGGCCAAGCGAAAGCAUUAAGUAUUCCACCUGGGGAGUACGCCGGCAACGGUGAAACUCAAAGGAAUUGACGGGGGCCCGCACAAGCGGAGGAACAUGUGGUUUAAUUCGAUGAUACGCGAGGAACCUUACCCGGGCUUAAAUUGCAGUGGAAUGAUGUGGAAACAUGUCAGUGAGCAAUCACCGCUGUGAAGGUGCUGCAUGGUUGUCGUCAGCUCGUGCCGUGAGGUGUCGGCUUAAGUGCCAUAACGAGCGCAACCCUUAUCUUCAGUUACUAACAGGUCAUGCUGAGGACUCUGGAGAGACUGCCGUCGUAAGAUGUGAGGAAGGUGGGGAUGACGUCAAAUCAGCACGGCCCUUACGUCCGGGGCUACACACGUGUUACAAUGGGGGGUACAGAAGGCAGCUAGCGGGUGACCGUAUGCUAAUCCCAAAAGCCUCUCUCAGUUCGGAUCGAAGUCUGCAACCCGACUUCGUGAAGCUGGAUUCGCUAGUAAUCGCGCAUCAGCCACGGCGCGGUGAAUACGUUCCCGGGCCUUGUACACACCGCCCGUCAAGCCAUGGGAGCCGGGGGUACCUGAAGUACGUAACCGCAAGGAUCGUCCUAGGGUAAAACUGGUGACUGGGGCUAAA